Long non-coding RNA from Octopus bimaculoides (California two-spot octopus), 321 nucleotides. RefSeq lists it as uncharacterized. NCBI's taxonomy places the organism in Eukaryota, Metazoa, Mollusca, Cephalopoda, Octopoda, Octopodidae. The record is from RefSeq and is a predicted model, not a curated record.
ACACAUACACACACAUACACACACAUACACACGAACAUGGAAUCGUUAUGUACGAAAAGUGUGACAACUCGAGCGCUGAGAGCUUUAUUCUUCUAUGAGAAAAUCCCUUAAAACCAUCUACAAACUCAACGGUGAUUUAAAUCAAAUCGAAAACUGAAGAAAAUGGAUACAAGCAGACGAGAAAUGCACCUGAUACGGACCAAACAGAAAUGCAGACGAUACGGACGAAACACUUCUUUCAAAAUCUUUUUACAGUUGGCCGGAUUGGAGCCGGACAUUUUGAAAGGAAAAUAAUGUACCAAAUCAAAUUUAUUUAUUUAU